RNAcentral lists this ribosomal RNA (253 nucleotides) under uncultured bacterium. RNAcentral's name for it is "partial 16S ribosomal RNA". It matches the Rfam family "Bacterial small subunit ribosomal RNA", at positions 524 to 776 of the family's 1533-position model. The record is from RNAcentral.
UACAGAGGUCUCGAGCGUUAGGCGGAAUCACUGGGCUUAAAGCGUGUGUAGGCGGAUCGGUAAGUACCUUGUGAAAUCCCACAGCUUAACUGUGGAACUGCUUGGUAUACUGCCAGUCUUGAGCCAGCUAGGGGCUACCGGAACAAAUGGUGGAGCGGUGAAAUGCGUAGAUAUCAUUUGGAACGCCAAUGGUGAAAACAGGUAGCUGGGAGUGUGCUGACGCUGAGACACGAAAGCCAGGGGAGCGAACGGG